Molecule: ribosomal RNA, 433 nt
Filed under: uncultured bacterium
Lineage: Bacteria
Description: partial 16S ribosomal RNA
Rfam family: Bacterial small subunit ribosomal RNA
Source: RNAcentral
AACGAACGCUGGCGGCAUGCCUAACACAUGCAAGUCGAACGAGACCUUCGGGUCUAGUGGCGCACGGGUGCGUAACGCGUGGGAACCUGCCCUUAGGUUCGGAAUCACUCCCCGAAAGGGGUGCUAAUACCGGAUAAUGUCUUAGGACCAAAGAUUUAUCGCCUUUGGGUGGGCCCGCGUUGGAUUGGCUAGUUGGUAGGGUAAAAGCCUGCCAAGGCGACGAUCCAUAGCUGGUCUGUGAGGAGGCUCAUCAACGCUGGGACUGAGGCACGGCCCAGACUCCGACGGGAGGCAGCAGUGGGGAAUAUUGGAGAAGGGGCGAAAGCCUGAUCCAGCAAUGCCGCGUGAGUGAUGAAGGCCUUAGGGUUGUAAAGCUCUUUUACCCGAGAUGAUAAUGACAGUACCGGGAGAAUAAGCUCCGGCUAACUCCGUG